Molecule: ribosomal RNA, 465 nt
Filed under: Vreelandella stevensii
Lineage: Bacteria; Pseudomonadati; Pseudomonadota; Gammaproteobacteria; Oceanospirillales; Halomonadaceae
Description: partial 16S ribosomal RNA
Rfam family: Bacterial small subunit ribosomal RNA
Source: RNAcentral
CCUACGGGAGGCAGCAGUGGGGAAUAUUGGACAAUGGGGGGAACCCUGAUCCAGCCAUGCCGCGGGUGUGAAGAAGGCCCUCGGGUUGUAAAGCACUUUCAGUGAGGAAGAACGCCUGGUGGUUAAUACCCAUCAGGAAAGACAUCACUCACAGAAGAAGCACCGGCUAACUCCGUGCCAGCAGCCGCGGUAAUACGGAGGGUGCGAGCGUUAAUCGGAAUUACUGGGCGUAAAGCGCGCGUAGGUGGCUUGAUAAGCCGGUUGGGAAAGCCCCGGGCUCAACCUGGGAACGGCAUCCGGAACUGUCAAGCUAGAGUGCAGGAGAGGAAGGUAGAAUUCCCGGUGUAGCGGUGAAAUGCGUAGAGAUCGGGAGGAAUACCAGUGGCGAAGGCGGCCUUCUGGACUGACACUGACACUGAGGUGCGAAAGCGUGGGUAGCAAACAGGAUUAGAUACCCCAGUAGUC